AUGAACGCUGGCGGCGUGCCUAAUACAUGCAAGUCGAGCGAACAGACGAGGAGCUUGCUCCUCUGACGUUAGCGGCGGACGGGUGAGUAACACGUGGAUAACCUACCUAUAAGACUGGGAUAACUUCGGGAAACCGGAGCUAAUACCGGAUAAUAUAUUGAACCGCAUGGUUCAAUAGUGAAAGACGGUUUUGCUGUCACUUAUAGAUGGAUCCGCGCCGCAUUAGCUAGUUGGUAAGGUAACGGCUUACCAAGGCAACGAUGCGUAGCCGACCUGAGAGGGUGAUCGGCCACACUGGAACUGAGACACGGUCCAGACUCCUACGGGAGGCAGCAGUAGGGAAUCUUCCGCAAUGGGCGAAAGCCUGACGGAGCAACGCCGCGUGAGUGAUGAAGGUCUUCGGAUCGUAAAACUCUGUUAUUAGGGAAGAACACAUGUGUAAGUAACUAUGCACGUCUUGACGGUACCUAAUCAGAAAGCCACGGCUAACUACGUG
Molecule: ribosomal RNA, 496 nt
Filed under: uncultured bacterium
Lineage: Bacteria
Description: partial 16S ribosomal RNA
Rfam family: Bacterial small subunit ribosomal RNA
Source: RNAcentral